AACCAGUUUUGAUCAUUGAACAUUUUUUUUUUCAUUUUUAAGUCUCAAGUUGUAUUUUGUAGCUACAUAUGUGAACUUGGAAAGUACCAUGGAAUAUUCAGUAAGGGGAACAAAGUGCCCAAGAAACAUUGGAAGACUGAGGAAGCCGCUGAACUGAUGGAAAGAACAAAUUCAUUAAAGACUAUAUUUCAAGAGGACUGAGUGUGGUUAUCAGAAAACAGAAGACACCACUUGAGGUAAAGUUAUCAGAUUCAGGGACAGUCAUGCUAUGAGGAUGAACACAUGAGGAAUAAAAAGUCAUGAACC
RNAcentral lists this long non-coding RNA (306 nucleotides) under Mustela putorius furo (domestic ferret). RNAcentral's name for it is "lncRNA (ENSMPUG00000023871.1)". The record is from RNAcentral. Lineage: Eukaryota; Metazoa; Chordata; Mammalia; Carnivora; Mustelidae.